This 75-nucleotide transfer RNA is filed under the name Nitrososphaerota archaeon. RNAcentral's name for it is "Thaumarchaeota archaeon tRNA-Pro". It matches the Rfam family "tRNA". From Rfam's summary of the family: Transfer RNA (tRNA) molecules are approximately 80 nucleotides in length. Their secondary structure includes four short double-helical elements and three loops (D, anti-codon, and T loops). Further hydrogen bonds mediate the characteristic L-shaped molecular structure. tRNAs have two regions of fundamental functional importance: the anti-codon, which is responsible for specific mRNA codon recognition, and the 3' end, to which the tRNAs corresponding amino acid is attached (by aminoacyl-tRNA synthetases). tRNAs cope with the degeneracy of the genetic code in two manners: having more than one tRNA (with a specific anti-codon) for a particular amino acid; and 'wobble' base-pairing, i.e. permitting non-standard base-pairing at the 3rd anti-codon position. RNAcentral also lists the same sequence under 1 other name. The record is from RNAcentral. Lineage: Archaea; Thermoproteati; Nitrososphaerota.
GGGGUCGUCGGCUAGCAUGGUCCAGGCUUCAAGCCUCGGGCGCUUGAAACGCCGGUUCAAAUCCGGCCGACCCCA